CCUACGGGAGGCUGCAGUGGGGAAUAUUGCGCAAUGGGCGAAAGCCUGACGCAGCGACGCCGCGUGAGGGAUGAAGGUCUUCGGAGCGUAAACCUCUGUCAGCAGGGAAGAACGGUCACUGUGCUAAUCAGCAGUGAAUUGACGGUACCUGCAAAGGAAGCACCGGCUAACUCCGUGCCAGCAGCCGCGGUAAUACGGCGGGUGCGAGCGUUAAUCGGAAUUACUGGGCGUAAAGCGCUCGUAGGCGGUAUGUCAAGUAAAGGGUGAAAUCCCCGCGGCUAACGUUGGAACUGCCUUUGAAACUGGCAAACUGGAGUGUGUGAGAGGAUAGUGGAAUUCCAGGUGUAGGAGUGAAAUCCGUAGAUAUCUGGAGGAACAUCAGUGGCGAAGGCGACUAUCUGGCCCAUAACUGACGCUGAGGAGCGAAAGCGUGGGUAGCAAACAGGAUUAGAUACCCCUGUAGUC
RNAcentral lists this ribosomal RNA (465 nucleotides) under uncultured bacterium. RNAcentral's name for it is "partial 16S ribosomal RNA". It matches the Rfam family "Bacterial small subunit ribosomal RNA", at positions 338 to 795 of the family's 1533-position model. The record is from RNAcentral.